Molecule: long non-coding RNA, 421 nt
Filed under: Homo sapiens (human)
Lineage: Eukaryota; Metazoa; Chordata; Mammalia; Primates; Hominidae
Description: non-protein coding lnc-INTS11-3:1
Source: RNAcentral
CCUUUGAGCUGUUAUUUGGUUUUCUCUCCUUUGCUCCUAGCCUGCAGCUGGCUCCCCCCGGCCCUGGGUGGGAGCUGGUCCUGUCCCUAGGGGUGGCCCCUGGAGGGUGGGUGGAGUUCCAGCCUUGCCCCAGGGCUCUGGACGGAGUCUGGGCCUCCCACCCUCAGGACCCCCUUCCCUGCGGACCUGCAGGUCUGAGUAGCGACAGUGGCCUUGGGGGCAGCUCGGAUGGCAGCUCGGACGUCCUGGCUUUCGGCUCGGGCUCUGUGGUGGACAGCGUCACUGAGGAGGAGGGUGCAGAGUCGGAGGAGUCCAGCGGUGAGGCAGACGGGGACACUGAGGCCGAGGCCUGGGGCCUGGCGGACGUGCGCGAGCUGCACCCGGGGCUCUUGGCGCACCGCGCAGCGCGUGCCCGCGACCU